AGGAGUACUGGAAAUGAUGGUUACUGUAGUUGAGAUUCACUCUGAAAAGUCACCUCUCAUUCAUGAGAUAAUGUGGUAAAGAUCAAAGUUUCACUGACUAACUCUUUAAAUUUUCUGCAUAAACACCAUGAUGCAUCAGGAUAUGUCUAAAACUAAUUCUUUCUCCCCACAGCAGAUAUGUCCACAAAACCACUCAUGUCUUUCAAACCCAACUACAGUGCUGUGAAACAGUGGUCUUUAAAUAGCAGAAAAGGAGCAUGGAGCUUGGCAGGAUCUAAUUCAGAAUGCAGUGAAGCUGAUGAGAGAGCAUCCGGUGACCCAACCAGGCAUGUCCUCGCCCACAGCAGCAUCUUCUGGUGGCAGCUAUUUGGGAUGAUAUACUCCUUGUAUGAACUGCUGUAGGCUUAUCUCUCAUCUGCUGCUCUCUUGCUUAGAGAAAAGAAGGCUGCUACUAAGCUGGAAGCACAUAUUUGGCUGAGUGCUUCCCUGGUUUUGGACGAAUGCUCCUACUUUUAGCAGCAUGCCUAGACUUGGAGAAGUACGUUAUGAUGAGUGAACAGAAGGAACUUCCAAACUUUAAAUCAUAUCCAAGGAACCUCCAGUAAUAAGGGCUUCAGCUCAUACCCACAAGUGGUCCUGCAGGAAAACUGGUCUUUGGCUUUUAUUUCCUGAAAGGAAGGAUUGUAUGGCAGUGUUGGGGCUUCGGGGUCUGUAUAAU
Molecule: long non-coding RNA, 718 nt
Organism: Centrocercus urophasianus (Greater sage-grouse)
Lineage: Eukaryota; Metazoa; Chordata; Aves; Galliformes; Phasianidae
Exons: 3
Source: RefSeq, a predicted model, not a curated record